GCUGCCUUCAGCAGCACAUAUAUUAAAUUUGGAAUGAUGCAGAGAAAAUUAGCAUGGCCUUUGCACAAGUAUGGCAUCCAAAUUCAUUAAACACUCCAUAGUUUU
This is a small nuclear RNA of Acomys russatus (golden spiny mouse), 105 nucleotides long. NCBI's taxonomy places the organism in Eukaryota, Metazoa, Chordata, Mammalia, Rodentia, Muridae. The record is from RefSeq and is a predicted model, not a curated record.